CAACAAUCGCCAUCGUGCCAAAAUUCCGGAGUCCCACCCUCAAGAAAAGAGUCCUGCCUCAUAGGAGCUGCUGGAGGCUGCUGUGCAAACAGACACCCCACCGGAUGAUGCAACAUCUGCCCGAACAGGGCGUUUGCUGUCAAGCGGGGCGAGAUUCAUAGUUCUGGCCGCAAUAGCCUGUCCCACUGACAGGACCCCGAGGCCGUUCCAGCGGGAGGAGAGCCAAGGAGGCUGCGCUCGUGGACUUGACGUGUCUCGCAGGCCUGCUCCUAGAAUUUCAUCCCUUGCCGUCCCCGCUUCUCUCCCCCUCCAGCCCAGCGUGAACUUCACUUGGGCCAAAAAAUCAGCUGCAUGAGAACAGGAUGGAGCAGGCAGCUGGAGACACGAGUCAAUAAAGCCCGCGAAGGAAACCUCAGGAUUUUCCUAACUGUGAACUUAGCGAGAAGCAACAGCAGGAGCUCCAGAAACUUCCUUAGGUGACAUGGAAUGAGAAACAGCUGGGAAGAGUGAAAAAAAAAGAAGAAAAAAAGGCUAUUCAUUCUUCGGGAUUUCCAAGAAGACAACAUGCAUGAUUUUAUCUUGAUGGCCCACCAAACUGGGUUCAUUUGCAAUACCAUCACUUAACCCAGGGCUGGGGUAGGACGAUGGGAGUGGCGGGCAAUGGGAGAUGAGUGUGCCUUCAUAGCUAAUUGCUGGACUCCCACUUAAGCAAACUCACCGAGUACUCAUAACUUGGAACCAGUUCAAGUCAUUCUGUGAUUUGCUAGACAUGUCCGCUAUUAUCCGUACUUUAAUGUGCGAAGGCAGCACAAGAGCCAAAAUGGCAAAGUGGUGCCAAGACUCAACCACCAUUAAUGAGCAUAUUAAGGGUCAGCAGGCUGCACAGUUCAGUUACAUCAUGCGGUAAUCAGUCAUGUCUAGAGUAACCCAAGGACUCCCUAAGACAACCCAUAAAGCCGUCCAAAGUUGACUGUUAUGAAGGUUAACCUGAGAGCGCUGAUUACAACCACGGAGUUGACACACAUAAUUAGGUUAGAAAAGCUCUCUAAGUGAAACUGAAGACAGAAUCUUAUAGAAACAGAUGUUUAUCCAACUAAUGCUGUUGGGUGAGUGCCAUGUGUCUGUAUCUGUGAGAUGCUCGUGUCAGGAACAGCCUUCGACUCUCUUGCCUAAUUGUAACUCAGAGGUGUCUGUGUAAUGAAAGACAAUCGCACUGCCCUAGGACCAAACAUGACGCGACAGGUCAUGCCUGCCCAGUGCUCUGUUCCUCACACCUCUUUUGCAGCCUGAGACUUCCACCGGGCGAGAGACAGACUGGAAUGUCCCACAGAAGGAAGCUGGCAAGAGCAGCGCCAUCACAGAGAAAAGAGAAGCAGCCAUCCCGAUAUCAGAGCAACAUGGCGGGCGCUCCAGAACGCCAACCAAAAUACCACUUUCUACUACACGAGUAGAGGAGGAGAAAGCCCCAGGGGACGGUCCUAGGCUGAGGAAAUGAGAUAAGCCAGAGGAGGCAAUGUUCAAGAGACUGAGCUAGUGGGCCCCCUUAUCUUCUCACACGGAAAGGAAAAAGGAAGGGAGCAGCAAGUGAUAACCAAGAUGGACCUCAGAGGGCAGCAUCUGUCCCCGCCCCCCAACACCACCGCCAGGGGUCUUCUUUCUGGGUGACAAGUGGGAGAAUCCCCAGCCACAAAUGAGCAGAAAGGAAACCCUAUCAGGUUGUCUGCCCGCCAAAACCCUUUCACGGCUUCCUACCGGCCUUUGGAUGAAAUCCAAAAUGCCUAACAUGCCUAGAAGACCCUGCAUGACUGAACACAAUGAAAAGUGGUACAAUUAAGAUCAGAGACCAUCUUAAAGAUGCAGAAGGAGUAAUUUUCCUUCAAACAUCCUGAUAUGAGCUCAUUAUUCCAAGUUAAUAUUAAAUUUAGCUACAAGUUUCCUAAAAGCCAAUCAAAAGUGAAAUGCUUUGGUGCAUGAUUGGUAUUUUUAAACAAAAGUUACCACGCAAAUACGUUUGGAGAGCACUCCUGACAUUAAACCCAAGGACUUCACACAACCCUUGUCUGAGGAUGGGAAACCCGUUUGUUAUGAGUGGUGUGAUAAUGAAUCAAGUCCAAGGGGUACAACAUGGAUAGAUGUUCAACAGGAUGCUGCUAUAUGAGAAAGUACUGUGUAAACUAUAAAGGGCGUUACCCAAUCUUAGGUAAUCUAAACCGAAAGGUGUAUUCCAUUUCCACGUUGUUCGUAUCGCACCUCUGUUUGCAUAGCCGAAUGGAAACUGUUCCGUGGGGGUUAAUUGAGGUCAUGUGGCAAAGCUAUUCUGCUUCCUGAUGAUGUAAAAGGGUUUGACUAGUUUGCUAAUUCUAAAAGAAAAGCAGAUAAGAUUUUGUCUCUCAAAUGGCCCCUUUCUUGCUCAAAGCUUAGGCAGAUAAGUGUACAGAAUCGAUGUUGUGAGUCAAAGAAGCAAGAGCGGAAGGUUUAGAUAAGAGAUGAAGGGGUGAGGCUUCACUCUGUCGUGAAAUUUAAAGCCGCAAUAUGGAACUCUAUGAAUUUAGUUCUUUAGGAAUAACUAAUCAUCCAUCCUUCCUCCAAUUCAGAAGACAUCCAGGUAAUGAUAAGUGUCUGUUUAUUGCUCUUGGCCAUGAACACAAGUCAAGAGCAUUUUCAAUGGUAAAUGGUCACUGUGCGAUGAACCCAAGGAAAGGACCCUGUUUCAAUAUUAUUGGGAAGUGAAGAUGUGUGCACUCCAGCCAAACAGCAGGAGAGUGGAUCCGAGACUCCCUCUCCUUUCACCUCCCGACUCUCCUUCCUCCCCCCCAGUCCUCACCCCUGACACCCCUCAAGUGCUUUCCUGGAGGAAGCCAAUGAGGCUCUCUGGUCCUCACCUGCCCAAAGCAAGUACCCAAAGUCACUCUUUUCAGAAACAUUGGAAGCUUUAGAAUCACUGACGUGUAGAUGCCCUUUCUCAAGGCUACUCGUGUCACCAUGCAAGACUGUGCGGUGCACAACCCUGAGAACAUCAUUCCAGAGACCACCUUAGUAUGAUGAGUGAUUCUCUACCGUACCCUGCGCAUCUGGGUAGUAUAUUAGGUGAUCUGGAUCCCAUGUGACUCUUCUAUUUUACCAGCAGUCACUCAGUCUGGAUUUAGUGCACAGGUCCUGGGCUACAUCUGUGGGCUGUGGUUCCGAUGACAGUUGGGAUUGGAGUCCUUGCAGUGCUAGUCUGUUCUACUUCAUUUGUACGCUGCUCAGAGUCCACGCUGAAAACUCUCCUAGUUUUCCACACUGCAGUCCAGUUCUCGAACCUCCUAGUGUGUUCGUUUGCGUCAGUUGCACAGUUCAGUGGUCAGGUGUCUGCCCGGGACUUCCGUAGGACUUCCUAUGCAGGAUGGAAGAAUCCCAUUCUUUGUCUGAGACUCUCCCCUCCCUCUGAGUUGGGAGCAUGAGGGACACCAGCUGCCAUGGGGGAGGAAGCCCAGAGUCCCCCCUUUGUCUUCGUUGACACUAAAACAGUGGGGAAAGGGGGCACCUCUCUGAGUCCUCGGGGGCUGAAAGGUU
Equus caballus (horse) is the source of this 3555-nucleotide long non-coding RNA. Lineage: Eukaryota; Metazoa; Chordata; Mammalia; Perissodactyla; Equidae. The record is from Ensembl.